AAUCCGCAUACUGCAAAAUAAACAAAUGAUCAUUCAACCCAAUUAACCACACAAUGUCUUGCAUUUUCAACAUAAAAAAACCGAAUCAUGUGCAGUACUAAGCAAGAUUAUUUGAAGAAGGGAAACAGUUCAACAUAACAAGAAUAAAUUGUAAUGCAGCAGUUAUUCAAUCAAGCUACACUGCAGCAACCAUGCAGCUCUCCAUGGU
RNAcentral lists this long non-coding RNA (208 nucleotides) under Salvia miltiorrhiza (redroot sage). RNAcentral describes it as "long non-coding RNA (SMIL_LNC012655)". The record is from RNAcentral. Lineage: Eukaryota; Viridiplantae; Streptophyta; Magnoliopsida; Lamiales; Lamiaceae.